Molecule: ribosomal RNA, 551 nt
Filed under: Limnonectes lauhachindai
Lineage: Eukaryota; Metazoa; Chordata; Amphibia; Anura; Dicroglossidae
Description: partial 16S ribosomal RNA
Rfam family: Bacterial large subunit ribosomal RNA
Source: RNAcentral
CGCCUCCUGAAAAUUAUAGGAGGUCCAGCCUGCCCAGUGAUAUAUUAAACGGCCGCGGUACCCUGACCGUGCGAAGGUAGCAUAAUCACUUGUUCUCUAAAUAAGGACUAGUAUCAACGGCAUCACGAGGGUUAUACUGUCUCCCUAUUCUAAUCAGUGAAACUGACUUUCCCGUGAAGAGGCGGGAAUUUUUAUACAAGACGAGAAGACCCCAUGGAGCUUUAAACCCAAGAGCAGCCUUUAUAGAAUCCUACCUUAAAAUUUUUAGGUGUUGCCCAUUGGCUUUAGGUUGGGGUGACCACGGAGUAAAACUUAACCUCCAUGACGAAUAGACUUUUCAUCUUUAUCUUAGAGCUACUGCUCCAAGAAUCAAAAAUUUGACGCAACCUGAUCCGAUUAUCGAUCAACGAACCAAGUUACCCUGGGGAUAACAGCGCAAUCCAUUUUAAGAGCCCCUAUCGACAAAUGGGUUUACGACCUCGAUGUUGGAUCAGGGUAUCCCAGUGGUGCAGCCGCUACUAAAGGUUUGUUUGUUCAACAAUUAAAACCCU